AAACACAAGCAUUGCCUCUUAAGUAGGGCUUCAGACAGGUGCCUACCAAUAACAGUAGGUCUUCCAGACUACAUGAAGAUCAAGAAAUUAUACCUCAGUGGUAUGAAAACCACAAGCAAUGUGAAGCAAAGUUCAAAUGAACUUAAAGCAACUUAGGUACCUGUGGAAACAGCUAAACCAAUCAGUACAAAAUCCAGACAAUCAAUCAACAGUUAAUAUCACACAGACAGACAAAUCCAAUCAGGCAACAAUGGUGCAAGGUACAAGACA
This 270-nucleotide long non-coding RNA is filed under the name Lathyrus oleraceus (garden pea). Its description in RNAcentral is "Pisum sativum (pea) long non-coding RNA (PSAT_LNC016874)". The record is from RNAcentral. Lineage: Eukaryota; Viridiplantae; Streptophyta; Magnoliopsida; Fabales; Fabaceae.